Non-coding RNA from Parelaphostrongylus tenuis, 75 nucleotides. The record is from the annotation of a GenBank genome assembly. NCBI's taxonomy places the organism in Eukaryota, Metazoa, Nematoda, Chromadorea, Rhabditida, Metastrongylidae.
GCGUCGGGAGUGCAACGGGUUGGAGCACGUGCCCUCGGACAGGGUGGGAUGCGAGUUCGAGUCCCGCCUUACGCA